Long non-coding RNA from Gorilla gorilla gorilla (western lowland gorilla), 878 nucleotides. RefSeq lists it as uncharacterized. Lineage: Eukaryota; Metazoa; Chordata; Mammalia; Primates; Hominidae. The transcript has 4 exons. The record is from RefSeq and is a predicted model, not a curated record.
GGCCGCACAGGAGCCCAUGGAGGGGGCGGGAGGCUCAGGCAUGGCGGGCUGCAGGUCCCGAGCCCUGCCCCGCGGGAAAGCAGCUAAGGCCCUGUGAGAAAUCGAGCGCAGCGCCGGUGGGCCGGCACUGCUGGGGGACCCAGUACACCCUCCGCAGCCGCUGGCCCAGGUGCUAACCCCCUCAUUUCCCGGGCGGCAGGGCCGGCCGGCUGCUCCCAGUGCGGGGCCCGCCAAGCCCACGCCCACCCGGAACUCCAGCUGGCCUGUAAGCGCCGGGCGCAGCCCCGGUUCCCGCUGGCGCCUCUCCCUCAACACCUCCCUGCAAGCUGAGGGAGCCGGCUCUGGCCUUGGCCAGCCCAGGAAGGGACUCCCACAGUACAGCAGUGGGCUGAAGGGCUCCUCAAGUGCCCCCAAAGUGGAAGCCCAGGCAGAGAAGGCGCCAAGAGCCAGCGAGGGCUGUGAGGACUGCCAGCACGCUGUCACCUCUCAGCAUUUGCCCAAGGAGAGUGGGCUAUGCGGAAGGAAAGAGAGAACUAGAAAGGAUUAUCUUGAUUAUUUAUAGAAAAGGUACAAGUGCUCCAUGGAGAAAAUGGUGAUUCAGCGCCUGAGCCAUGAAAUAUACAAGAUGAGCCUGGAGAAUCCUGCAGUUCUAGAAAGGUGCUCCUUGACAUCCUAUGAAAGAAUGUCCUUGAAGAAAGAUGCUAAAAUGUUCAACGAUUUUUUUAAAGCAGAAAGUCUGAAGUAGCUGCGGUUCAGUGGGUACAUGUGCAGGUUUGUUACAUGGAUGAAUUGCAUCACUGAGGUUUGGAGUACAAAUGUUUGUGUCACCCAGUAGUGAGCAUAGUAACCAACAGGUAAUUUUUCAACCCUUGUCCUCU